ACGGAGGAUCCAAGCGUUAUCCGGAAUUACUGGGCGUAAAGAGUUGCGUAGGCGGCAGAGUAAGUUAAUAGUGAAAGCGUGUGGCUCAACCAUACAUACAUUAUUAAAACUGCUCAGCUAGAGUAUGGAAGAGGUGGCUGGAAUUCCCAGUGUAGGAGUGAAAUCCGUAGAUAUUGGGAGGAACACCGAUGGCGUAGGCAGGCCACUGGUCCAUUACUGACGCUAAGGCACGAAAGCGUGGGGAGCGAACGGGA
This 254-nucleotide ribosomal RNA is filed under the name uncultured prokaryote. RNAcentral describes it as "partial 16S ribosomal RNA". It matches the Rfam family "Bacterial small subunit ribosomal RNA", at positions 525 to 777 of the family's 1533-position model. The record is from RNAcentral.